This is a long non-coding RNA of Spinacia oleracea (spinach), 1595 nucleotides long. RefSeq lists it as uncharacterized. NCBI's taxonomy places the organism in Eukaryota, Viridiplantae, Streptophyta, Magnoliopsida, Caryophyllales, Amaranthaceae. The transcript has 7 exons. The record is from RefSeq and is a predicted model, not a curated record.
GAGAGAUAAGACUAGUACGAGAGUGUAAAAUAUUUCUCUCACUACACGAGAACCUUUCUCUCUAGAACUCUAGAGCCUCCCCUUUCUAUACCAAACACAAUAUUUAAUUCUACUUUAUUCUCUCUUCUUCCCUCUAUGUCAAUCACAAUCUUUAAACAAUGUCCCAAUACUCAAUCGCUCGUAUAGGAAUAAUCAUACAUUACACAGGGCAUGACACGCCACCUGAUUUGGAAAAUUUUCACUUGUAUGUGGUUGAAAAACUCAAGGACUGCAAAAAUUUCACAGAACAACAACUUCAAUCCUGGGUUCCCCCAUUCUGAAAAUCCAAUGGCCCGAUUCAAGUUCAGAAAGUCCAUAACUCAAGAGCGUUUGUGGGAUUCGUUACGGGCCAUCCCGAGCGUCGCUUAUUUUUGUGGCGAUCGUUUGGGUUUGCGGAACACGUAUCUUGGUUUUUGGAUCGUAAGUCGAGGGUUCUGAACUUGGCGGCUCCUUUGCGGUGGUAGACUUCGGCGAGCACAAAGGUUACCUGAAAGGAGUCAUCAGCGAGGUCAUCCAUGACUCCCUCGGCGUCACUUUCCGACACUCAUUCAGGUACAAGCACCAGAAGGAGUUGUUCGUCGCUGCAGAGGGUAUGUACACUGGUCAGCCCGUGCUUUUGGAGAUUACGCCAUUGUUAUCUCUCACAGCCCUGAUAAUGAUACCUCUAGGUUCAAGUGUUUGAGAAGCAAUGCGGAUCCCUAACUCAGUACGGUAUCUCUAUUAUAUAAAGGAACAGCUGAGGGUGUUUAGGUAAUAACACUUUUCGUGUCCCCCUUAAAAAUGACUAAAACACCCUCUAUCUUUUACUUCAAACCCUUCGUCGUUUACCCACAAACUCUCUCCUCCUCUGCCGACAAACUGUUUAACCAUGAAAGCACAAACUCUCUCCCUCUCUCUCUCUCAACUCCAUCACCUUCCUCCUCUCCCUUUCUCUCUCCUCUCUUCUGAUUCAAAGAUUGCAAAAUCAGUAAAGUAAUUGAGGUGUUUCAAAGAUUGUAAAUUCGUCUGAUCGCGUUCUUUCGUAUUAUUCAUUCAAUUGUACUGAUUUCGUUCAUUUAAUUGAUUUGAUUUUGAUUUAUUCGACUAAAUUGAUUGAUGAAGUGGUUUCGAAGAUGGUAGAGGAUCUUCAUCCUCUUUCUUCUUUCACUUCCUAUAUUUCCUCCUCUGGUUUUAGUCUGCAUUAGACUCAAAACUCUUACUUCUCAAGGGAAAAACAAUUCGUCGAAGAUUUACCGAGUAUUAUGCCAACAAUAUAAGUCAGAUCAGAUGUAAUACUACUAAGUGCAGUUGGACAGAUUUAUAUACGGAACAGAGUACAAUUGCUAGAAGACAAGUAGUUUCUUUUUUUAAAGUUAUAGUUUUUCAUCCUUUUUGCUACAGAAAUCAAAUUGUUUAUUGUUCACUAUUUGUAUUUUAACAUUUAAACAAUGCAUAGAGAGAUUAUAUUCUGGCUGAAAUUUCAUACAGUCAGUUUAUUUUGAUUUGGUAUUUUGGGUUAAUUCCUAGAAUUGGAGGAUGUCAAUUACAAAAUUUACAAUGAGAAUGUUCUUUUUAUA